AUGGCUCCUGCUGUUCUCCCAGUCAGGGAUGACAGCUCCUGUCCAUCCAUCCUUCUGUGUGCAGCAUCUGGCAAGGCGGUGGUCACACCUACACACGUCUGUGCCAAUGCGGGGAUGUCACUGCAGUGGGAUGUGGUGGCAUUUGGGGUUUACAUGGCACCCACAGGCACACAUCCACAUCCACGUGCAACUGCACAAACUCAUGCACACACCCUCAUACUCACAUAUAUCCUGUGCACUCACACAUGGAUAUACACAUCCAUGCAUGCUUGCAUGUACAGAUGUGUGCAGCUGCACACCCACACGCACAUUCAUGAGUGCACACGUGUGCUGCCCCCACCCCACACUGAGCCAUCUCCUGCCUGCUGCUCCUUCCCUGCCUGUGCCCUGCCAUGUUCCAGACCCCACAGGCCACCAGCACCCCACAUGUGGCCAUGCCCCCCAGAAAAGCCCCGGGGCAGCUCAGCUGGAUGUGGGGAGUGGGUGACCCCCCCCAGCCUGUCCCCGUCAGCUGGUGGCCAUGUGUGGGAUGUGCAGCUGAGUACACAGCUCUUGCCAUCCAUCUUGUCACCUGUCAGGGCCAGAGGCUGCUGUGGACCCCCAGACAUGGCUCAGCAAGACUCUGGGGUGAGAGGAGGGCAGAGUGGGGGUGCCCCUCUCUGUACACCUGCCUUCUCCCUGCCUUCUCCCAGCCUGCUUCCUGCCUGUCAUGCCAAGGGCCUGCCCAUCCCCAGCUUUGCCCCUGGCACUGUCUGCAGGUACCCUUUUGUGGGGGUCUGCACCUGGGCAGGGGCUGCAGAAGAAGGCUGGGGUCCCUUAAGGGAACUGAUGAGAGAACUGGGAACUGGUGAGAGCUGUCAGUGUCACGCAGUGCACAUCCCUGCCCUUCCUCAUCCCCAGGAGGAUCCCUGUCUUCUUGCUCAGCCCUGCAUGUCCCCAGCCCCUGGAGUGGCCCUGCAUGUCCCCUUCCCCAGCAAGACCACCAGCCCCCAGCCCAUCUCUCUUGCCCCCCACCGUGUGAUUUACAGGCUCUGCACAGGCAGACAAAUGGUGAAGGAAAACAGGGCAGGGGGUCCCGCCAGCCAGGGGCUGCCUGUGCCCCGCGGGGGGCAGAGGGGCCGUUUGCUCACAGCCAGCAGGACAGGAGGCAGUGAAGUGGUGCCGGUGCCAGUCAGCACAGCUGCCCCUGUCAUGGUCCAGCAGCCACAAGCCCUAAAAGCACAAGGAGUGCCCAUGGUAGGACCCAGACCUAGUUAUCACAAGAUGUAG
This 1269-nucleotide long non-coding RNA is filed under the name Parus major (Great Tit). Its description in RNAcentral is "lncRNA (ENSPMJG00000006988.1)". The record is from RNAcentral. Lineage: Eukaryota; Metazoa; Chordata; Aves; Passeriformes; Paridae.